This is a long non-coding RNA of Sander lucioperca (pikeperch), 117 nucleotides long. RefSeq lists it as uncharacterized. The record is from RefSeq and is a predicted model, not a curated record. The transcript is spliced from 3 exons. NCBI's taxonomy places the organism in Eukaryota, Metazoa, Chordata, Actinopteri, Perciformes, Percidae.
GGACUGGGUUCGCUCCGACCCGCUGCUCUUUGCUCCAUGUCAUCCCCCUUCUCUCUACCCUUUCCUGUCUUCAAGCUAUCAAUUAAAGGCCAUAAAAGCCCAACAAUUAAAUCUUUA